AGAAGCAAUAAUGUUAAUAUGAGUAACAAGAAAACCCUUCUCCCUGCAUGCGUGUAUACCAGAACGAAUAACACACUGGUAGUUAACAAAUAUAAAUACAACUAACUAAUUGAAAAUUUAAUGUAAUUGUUAGUCCAACACAGGUAUGCAACUAAGGAAAGAUUAAAAGAAGUAAAAGGAACUCGGC
Molecule: ribosomal RNA, 187 nt
Filed under: Myotis ciliolabrum (western small-footed bat)
Lineage: Eukaryota; Metazoa; Chordata; Mammalia; Chiroptera; Vespertilionidae
Description: partial 16S ribosomal RNA
Source: RNAcentral